GUUUUAUUCUGCCCUGGAGCACUCAGGAGAAGCUUGUGGUGAUGACAGCCAGUGUACCAAUUAUCCUGCAAAAGCUACAUGGUCACCCAAAGGGCAUGCUCCUAGAACUAUCAUCUAUCAUGAAAAAGUAACGACAUUCUGAGAAGAAAUAAAUUAAUGGACAAACUGCUUUUAGCAGACUAUCUGUUGCUGUUUCCCUCUCCUGUGGCUAUAAUGCUAAAUUCAUAAUACAGUUAAAGAAAGCAAAAACUUUAUUCCUCCUUUUUACACCAGUACAAACCAUACCGCACUCUGAUUGCUGCUGUUAAUGGGUAGCUCGCUCCACCACUCAAGAUUUUUCUCACGUAGACUGAGCCAGAUCUGGUCAGUGUGUGCUGCCAUGCUGCCACUGCAGAAAUAGCUUUGUGUCUUUGGGAGAACAUUUUGGGAUGUACAACUUGUUGUGCAUGCUACUAGUGUUCAUAUCAGAAACCAGCCUGAACCAUAGACCUUCAAGGUAGCGGAAAACUCAAGGCACCUACAAGAAAGGGUUAGUUUUAUUUGAAAGUAACUUGGAAGGCUGUGUGGCCUCUAUCUCCCAAGGCUUCAGAAGAUAAUGAACAGAAGAUAGAAGAAACACUUCAGGAAUCUGAAGGCACAGAGAAUUUGAGAGAGAUUAAAAGCUGGCUGAAGAAUAUGCUGCUGCCCAUCUGCCUGAGCUCAUGCAGUCCUCAAGCUCUGAUAGAGACUUUUCAUGCUAAUGUAGCCUCUUUGUAGCUAAAACUUCCAGCUUCCAAAUUGAAAUGACAUAAAAUCAAGCAAUUUAUUUAAGUGCCAAACAUCAGUGCUUUUCUUCAGUUUGCUGUUCAAGAAGAUCUGCAAGGUAUCUAUCACCUCAGGGUCAUGAAAAUCUUAUACCCUUCACUGUCUAACUGGCUCAUAUAUAGAAGCUGAAAGCCAAGAAGAGCUCGUUUUCAGUUUCCCAGGACAGCCUAGCUCUGGAGGGUUGGAUUUCUGGGUUGUAUGCGGUCCAAGAAAGCAGACCUUCCACUUGUGUAUUUGGAAAAUAAAGUACCUUUCUCUGACUCUCCCUGA
Long non-coding RNA from Athene cunicularia (burrowing owl), 1074 nucleotides. RefSeq lists it as uncharacterized. The record is from RefSeq and is a predicted model, not a curated record. Lineage: Eukaryota; Metazoa; Chordata; Aves; Strigiformes; Strigidae. The transcript is spliced from 2 exons.